AUUGAACGCUGGCGGCAUGCUUUACACAUGCAAGUCGAACGGUAACAGGGAGCUUGCUCCGCUGACGAGUGGCGAACGGGUGAGUAAUGCGUCGGAACGUGCCGAGUAGUGGGGGAUAACGCAUCGAAAGGUGUGCUAAUACCGCAUACGUACUGAGGUAGAAAGUGGGGGACCUUCGGGCCUCACGCUAUUCGAGCGGCCGACGUCUGAUUAGCUAGUUGGUGAGGUAAAGGCUCACCAAGGCGACGAUCAGUAGCGGGUCUGAGAGGAUGAUCCGCCACACUGGGACUGAGACACGGCCCAGACUCCUACGGGAGGCAGCAGUGGGGAAUUUUGGACAAUGGGCGCAAGCCUGAUCCAGCCAUGCCGCGUGUCUGAAGAAGGCCUUCGGGUUGUAAAGGACUUUUGUCCGGGAGCAAAUGCCUGGUGUUAAUAGCAUCGGGAGCUGAGAGUACCGGAAGAAUAAGCACCGGCUAACUACGUG
This 484-nucleotide ribosomal RNA is filed under the name uncultured organism. RNAcentral's name for it is "bacterial SSU rRNA". It matches the Rfam family "Bacterial small subunit ribosomal RNA", at positions 30 to 507 of the family's 1533-position model. The record is from RNAcentral.